RNAcentral lists this non-coding RNA (389 nucleotides) under Paxillus involutus ATCC 200175. Its description in RNAcentral is "Eukaryotic large subunit ribosomal RNA". It matches the Rfam family "Eukaryotic large subunit ribosomal RNA", at positions 3005 to 3399 of the family's 3401-position model. The record is from Rfam by way of RNAcentral. Lineage: Eukaryota; Fungi; Basidiomycota; Agaricomycetes; Boletales; Paxillaceae.
UCGUCGUCGCAACAGUAAUUGGGUGUAGUAUGAGAGGAACUGUCCAUUCAGAUAAUUGGUAUCUGCACCUGUCCAAUUGGGCAUUGAUGUGAAGCUAUCAUUUGCUGGAUUAUGGCUGAAUGCCUCUAAGCCAGAAUCUGUGCUGGAAGUGACAAUGUUUGGUCCUGCACAUGUGAAUGGAGUUAAGAUAGAGCUUUGCUCGUGAACCAAAUCAGGUGGGCUAGGCUCACCGGGUGGAAAUGCCUGGUGGGCUCAUCUAUGAAUUGCAAUCAUGAUAUGCGCGGGGGUGAAUCCUUUGCAGAUGACUUGAAUGGGAACGGGGUACUGUAAGCGGUAGAGUAGCCUUGUUGCUAUGAUCCACUGAGGUUAAGCCCUUGUUCUAUAGAUUU